CCUUGCAGUCUCUGCAGUCGCAGCAAUAGUGACUAAUACUAUAAAAUUUGGAUGUUCAAAAUCAAGUCAAACCAAUGUAGAGGCUGCGGAGAUGCAACCAAUCAGAGUGACUGAUGCAAACAGUGGAGCUCCAUCUGAGGAGCCCUGCUUAACGGAAGAGAUCUCCAACAGAACUGCAUGAGAAUACAGGAGGAACAUUUAGUUCACAGUAGCCUAGUAUAUGGCACGCAGCAAUCUCUGAACCACCUUCCAGGCCUUCUUUUAAAUCCUGAAAAGCGAUCGAUUUGUGGGUUUGUUGU
This is a long non-coding RNA of Rhinichthys klamathensis goyatoka, 299 nucleotides long. RefSeq lists it as uncharacterized. Lineage: Eukaryota; Metazoa; Chordata; Actinopteri; Cypriniformes; Leuciscidae. The record is from RefSeq and is a predicted model, not a curated record. The transcript is spliced from 3 exons.